Amborella trichopoda is the source of this 529-nucleotide long non-coding RNA. RefSeq lists it as uncharacterized. The record is from RefSeq and is a predicted model, not a curated record. Lineage: Eukaryota; Viridiplantae; Streptophyta; Magnoliopsida; Amborellales; Amborellaceae.
GAGAGAGGAUGGAGAAGAGAAGAGGGAAGAGUGAGAAUGAUAUGCAGAAGAAGCUGCAAUCUAUGAUCCUGUGCCUCAAGGCUUCCAACCUCCUCCUAUCGUUGAGCUCCAAACCCCCUGUAAAUCCCCACAACAAUGAGGAAAUGGAGGGUAUUUUGAAAAGAGUGGAUCAUCUAGAGAGAGAAGUUGUUAGAGAGCGGUGCAUAAACCUGAGUCUUAAGCUUUGCAAGAUAUGGGAAGUGGUUGUUCUUGCUCUGGGACUGCUAGCUCUGCUCAUUUUGGCUUGGAUUUUCUCAGUUUGAAGCUUCACUCAUGGCUGGAUGUAUGAGAAUUUCCAGGUACGUUUUAGAGAGAGUAUUCAUUCUUGGGAGGUAAUGUGAAAAGAAAUUAGGAAAGGGUUUGCAGUGGAAGAUACCGUAUAUCCAUUGUGGUAGUAUUAAUACAUCUAGGACUCGCUCUUCAAUUUUGAUAUGCUCUAUGCCCCUCUGUAGCAGGGAAGAUUUACUUGAAAUUAAACUUGCCUUCCUGA